This 253-nucleotide ribosomal RNA is filed under the name uncultured bacterium. RNAcentral's name for it is "partial 16S ribosomal RNA". It matches the Rfam family "Bacterial small subunit ribosomal RNA", at positions 524 to 776 of the family's 1533-position model. The record is from RNAcentral.
UACAGAGGUCCCAAGCGUUGUUCGGAUUCACUGGGCGUAAAGGGUGCGUAGGUGGUGAGGGAAGUCGGAUGUGAAAUCUCCGAGCUCAACUCGGAAAUGGCAUUGGAAACUACCUUGCUCGAGGGUUGGAGGGGGGACUGGAAUACUUGGUGUAGCAGUGAAAUGCGUAGAUAUCAAGUGGAACACCAGUGGCGAAGGCGAGUCUCUGGACAUUUCCUGACGCUGAGGCACGAAAGCCAGGGGAGCAAACGGG